This 460-nucleotide ribosomal RNA is filed under the name uncultured bacterium. Its description in RNAcentral is "partial 16S ribosomal RNA". It matches the Rfam family "Bacterial small subunit ribosomal RNA", at positions 338 to 795 of the family's 1533-position model. The record is from RNAcentral.
CCUACGGGUGGCAGCAGUGAGGAAUAUUGGUCAAUGGACGAGAGUCUGAACCAGUCAAGUAGCGUGAAGGAUGACUGCCCUACGGGUUGUAAACUUCUUUUAUCUGGGAAUAAAAUGUUCCACGUGUGGGCUUUUGUAUGUACCCUAUGAAUAAGGCUCGGCUAACUCCGUGCCAGCAGCCGCGGUAAGAAGGAGGAUCCGAGCGUUAUCCGGAGUUAUUGGGUUUAAAGGGAGCGUAGGUGGGUUGUUAAGUCAGUUGUGAAAGUUUGCGGCUCAACCGUAAAAUUGCAGUUGAAACUGGCAGUCGUGAGUACAGUAGAGGUAGGCGGAAUUCGUGGUGUAGCGGUGAAAUGCUUAGAUAUCACGAAGAACUCCGAUUGCGAAGGCAGCUCACUGGACUGCAACUGACACUGAGGCUCGAAAGUGUGGGUAUCAAACAGGAUUAGAUACCCGUGUAGUC